This is a long non-coding RNA of Anneissia japonica, 279 nucleotides long. RefSeq lists it as uncharacterized. The record is from RefSeq and is a predicted model, not a curated record. NCBI's taxonomy places the organism in Eukaryota, Metazoa, Echinodermata, Crinoidea, Comatulida, Comatulidae. The transcript has 3 exons.
UUCAAACGAGGGUAAAAUAACGAAAGGCAAGGCUUAGAUUUUGAUAAUUUUAUUAGCGCAUUGUUGUUAUAGUUGAAUAUUAUCAAAAUGCCGGAUCAUUUAGGCAAUGAUAUGCGUAAGGUAAAACACGAGGAUGACAAAGAAGAUAAACCUAUUCAAGCUCUAGAUGAAGGUGAUAUUGCUCUUCUAAAAACAUAUGGUGCUGGACCAUACUCAAAGGCUAUCAAACAAGUUGAAGAUGACAUCACCUCAAUAUCUAAAAAAGUAAAUGAAUUGACA